RNAcentral lists this ribosomal RNA (465 nucleotides) under uncultured bacterium. Its description in RNAcentral is "partial 16S ribosomal RNA". It matches the Rfam family "Bacterial small subunit ribosomal RNA", at positions 338 to 795 of the family's 1533-position model. The record is from RNAcentral.
CCUACGGGAGGCAGCAGUGGGGAAUUUUGGACAAUGGGCGCAAGCCUGAUCCAGCUAUUCCGCGUGUGGGAAGACGGCCUUCGGGUUGUAAACCACUUUUGUAGAGAACGAAAAGUCUAUUUAUAAUACCGAUAGAUGAUGACGGUACUCUAAGAAUAAGCACCGGCUAACUACGUGCCAGCAGCCGCGGUAAUACGUAGGGUGCGAGCGUUAAUCGGAAUUACUGGGCGUAAAGGGUUCGCAGGCGGUUUUGCAAGUUGGAUGUGAAGGCCCCGGGCUUAACGUGGGAAAGGCAUAUAUGACUGGAAGACUAGAGUGAGUGAGAGGGUGGUGGAAUUCCAAGUGUAGCAGUGAAAUGCGUAGAUAUUUGGAAGAACAGCGAUGGCGAAGGCAGCCCCCUGGGACGCAACUGACGCUGAGGCACGAAAGCGUGGGGAGCAAACAGGAUUAGAUACCCGAGUAGUC